Molecule: long non-coding RNA, 871 nt
Filed under: Triticum aestivum (bread wheat)
Lineage: Eukaryota; Viridiplantae; Streptophyta; Magnoliopsida; Poales; Poaceae
Description: long non-coding RNA (TAES_LNC023262)
Source: RNAcentral
UUCCCCUGGAAUCCUACAAAUCAAAGAGGCCUUGAAUUGUUUUGUGUGGAACUCAAACAGAACCAACUUCUGGUUUCUGAAAGAGAUGAUUGGGAGUUGCCUUCCACAUUCCUUUUGUCCAAGCUUUUCUUUCCUUGUUGAUUCUGUAGAGCACAAUGUGCAGGUCAUGGGCACUUUCUCUAGCAUGUCUCUGAUGUGGCAAAAAGAUAAAAAGGAGGGAGAGAUCAGCCCAGGACUAAUCCUUUUUGCAAAAGGGAUUCUAAAAAGGAACUUGACUGACACACCUUUUUUACCGGCAUGCCAUCUCCAAAAUUCCUGACGAGUUUCUGAAGCAAUGCAAAGCAAAGCGAAGAUUCUCCACUAGCAGCUUGAGACAAGCAUGCACACUAAACCAUCCUGACCCACACCAGCACCAGCCGCAUGCCUACAAAAUUUAACACCAUCUAGAGACAUCAUCUUGAGUGGUGCUACACCACACUGCUAUAUAUACUUCAGAGAAUAGUAGAUGAAAACUCAUGGUUGCACAGCACCUUCUGCUUCUCUAUACUCCUACUAUAGUAGUAACAUACAUACAUACCUCCAUGGACAGGUGCUUUCAGCUGGGAAAAUCUGCAGGCUCUGCGAUUCCAAGAUGGAGAAAUGUCUCUGAGGCAAGUGAUGUACUUUAGCACACAUGUCCCUUUAUAAUGCAGUUCAGGGCAUGUGCAGAUGAGUUGAGGAGUUACCUGUGUUUUAGAGCUGAAGUGGACUUGACAUUUCUGCAGGAGACGACGGCCCAAUGGAUCGGACAUGGGGAGAAGAGCACGGCCUUGGUCUCCAACUUCGGCGGUCAUGGUGGCUUCGCCGAGCUGAAGUACUUUCUCAGCUGUGC